Molecule: non-coding RNA, 102 nt
Organism: Copromyces sp. CBS 386.78
Lineage: Eukaryota; Fungi; Ascomycota; Sordariomycetes; Sordariales; Sordariaceae
Source: the annotation of a GenBank genome assembly
GCCCGAUUAGCUCAGCUGGUUAGAGCGUCGUACUAAUAUCUUGUCUUACCGAGAGAUAUCAAGUCCAUGCGAAGGUCAACAGUUCAAUCCUGUUAUUGGGCA